GUGACUUUAGGUCUCCUGAAGGAACGUUGAAGACGACGACGUUGAUAGGCCGGGUGUGUAAGCGCAGCGAUGCGUUGAGCUAACCGGUACUAAUGAACCGUGAGGCUUAACCUUACAACGCCGAAG
RNAcentral lists this ribosomal RNA (126 nucleotides) under Salmonella enterica subsp. enterica serovar Bovismorbificans. RNAcentral's name for it is "partial 23S ribosomal RNA". It matches the Rfam family "Bacterial large subunit ribosomal RNA", at positions 2815 to 2925 of the family's 2925-position model. The record is from RNAcentral. Lineage: Bacteria; Pseudomonadati; Pseudomonadota; Gammaproteobacteria; Enterobacterales; Enterobacteriaceae.